RNAcentral lists this ribosomal RNA (253 nucleotides) under uncultured bacterium. RNAcentral's name for it is "partial 16S ribosomal RNA". It matches the Rfam family "Bacterial small subunit ribosomal RNA", at positions 524 to 776 of the family's 1533-position model. The record is from RNAcentral.
UACGUAGGUCCCGAGCGUUGCCCGGAAUCACUGGGCGUAAAGCGCGGGUAGGCGGUUCGGUAAGUCGAACGUGAAAUCCCUGGGCUCAACCCAGGAACGGCGUUCGGGACUGCCGGACUCGAGGGCGGUAGAGGGCGCUGGAAUUCCCGGUGUAGCGGUGAAAUGCAUAGAUAUCGGGAGGAACACCGGUGGCGAAGGCGGGCGCCUGGGCCGUUCCUGACGCUGAGCCGCGAAAGCUGGGGGAGCAAACCGG